CCUACGGGUGGCAGCAGUGAGGAAUAUUGGUCAAUGGACGCAAGUCUGAACCAGCCAUGCCGCGUGCAGGAAGACGGCUCUAUGAGUUGUAAACUGCUUUUGUACGAGGGUAAACGCAGAUACGCGUAUCUGGCUGAAAGUAUCGUACGAAUAAGGAUCGGCUAACUCCGUGCCAGCCGCCGCGGUAAUAAGGAGGAUUCAAGCGUUAUCCGGAUUUUUUGGGGUUAAAGGGUGCGUAGGCGGUCGGAUAAGUUAGAGGUGAAAUCUUGAGGCUGAAAUUCGGAAUUGCCUCUGAUACUGGCAGGCUAGAGAGUAGUUGCGGUAGGCGGAAUGUAUGGUGUAGCGGUGAAAUGCUUAGAGAUCAUACAGAACACCGAUUGCGAAGGCAGCUUACCAAGCUACUUCUGACGUUGAGGCACGAAAGCGUGGGGAGCAAACAGGAUUAGAUACCCGUGUAGUC
RNAcentral lists this ribosomal RNA (460 nucleotides) under uncultured bacterium. RNAcentral describes it as "partial 16S ribosomal RNA". It matches the Rfam family "Bacterial small subunit ribosomal RNA", at positions 338 to 795 of the family's 1533-position model. The record is from RNAcentral.